GACGGAGGGUGCAAGCGUUGUUCGGAAUCACUGGGCGUAAAGGGCGCGCAGGCGGUUUGGUAAGUCAGAUGUGAAAGCCCACGGCUUAACUGUGGAAGUGCAUUUGAUACUGCCAGACUUGAGUACCAGAGGGGAAAGUGGAAUUCCCGGUGUAGAGGUGAAAUUCGUAGAUAUCGGGAGGAAUACCGGUGGCGAAGGCGACUUUCUGGCUGAGUACUGACGCUGAGUCGCGAAAGCGUGGGAGCAAACAGG
Molecule: ribosomal RNA, 252 nt
Filed under: uncultured Desulfobulbus sp.
Lineage: Bacteria; Pseudomonadati; Thermodesulfobacteriota; Desulfobulbia; Desulfobulbales; Desulfobulbaceae
Description: partial 16S ribosomal RNA
Rfam family: Bacterial small subunit ribosomal RNA
Source: RNAcentral